This 207-nucleotide ribosomal RNA is filed under the name uncultured bacterium. RNAcentral describes it as "partial 16S ribosomal RNA". It matches the Rfam family "Bacterial small subunit ribosomal RNA", at positions 568 to 774 of the family's 1533-position model. The record is from RNAcentral.
CGUGCAGGUGGUCUAUUAAGUUGGAUGUUAAAUCUCCCGGCUUAACUGGGAGUUGUCGUUCAAAACUGGUAGACUGGAGGACGGUAGAGGAAGGUGGAAUUCCGGGUGUAGUGGUGAAAUGCGUAGAUAUCCGGAGGAACAUCAGUGGCGAAGGCGACCUUCUGGACCGCUCCUGACACUCCAACGCGAAAGCUAGGGUAGCAAACG